Molecule: long non-coding RNA, 1824 nt
Organism: Scylla paramamosain (green mud crab)
Lineage: Eukaryota; Metazoa; Arthropoda; Malacostraca; Decapoda; Portunidae
Exons: 2
Source: RefSeq, a predicted model, not a curated record
UCAAGGAGUUCCUGAGAUUAGAAUCACAAGCGGAUGAACCAGACCCAAGAGUAGCAGUUUUGAAAGGGCUGGAGAAAUAUAGGCUCCCAAUAAUUGCCAUUCUCAAAAAAAGAAAAGCAGUUCCUCUGUAUAUGGAAACCUUACUUGAACUCUAUGACCACGAUGAAAGUCAAUGCGAGUAAUGUCUAGUUCAAUUUGUUCAUUUCAGUAGCUGGUAGCAAUUUAAUAUAUGUAUCUUUUCAUCAUUAGCAAUGCAUCUUUCACUUUUAUAAGCCUAGUAUUCAUGAAACUAUGCUGCAUGCAAAAACCAAACAUUGUAUUAAGCAUGACCUAUCUAACUGUAAUGCUUGCACCAAUUUCUAUAAAGGUACUAAUUUAAUUGUUAAAUUCCUGCUCUUCUAUCAAAUUUUUGGCUGAGUGCUAUGGCUAAAUAAUUGUUUGCAGCAUAAGUGAUGUUAAAGAUUUUAAUAGGUGUAAAGCAUCUCUCUCUCUCUCUCUCUCUCUCUCUCUCUCUCUCUCUCUCUCUCUCUCUCUCUCUCUCUCUCUCUCUCUCUCUCUCUCUCUCUCUCUCUCUCUCUCUCUCUCUCUCGUAAGGAAAGACAUUAUUUCUAGUGUAAAUAAACCCAAUAGGCUGUCCAAUUUGAAAUUUAAAAUGUAAAUAUUAUCAAUCUUUUUAGAAUUGUUAGCUGCAUCCUCUUCCCUUGCAGUCCAAUAAGACAGGUCACUAAUUCGCGUGGAGAUAGAAUUCUUGGAGUCACCUUUGCCGGCGCUAGCGCAAGUGCAAACAGUCUGAUAAAGGUUUGUUCCAUGGUUGUGGUGAAGUUCAGGACUUCUCACACUGUUUUAGUGGAUAUGAUGAGAAGAAUCGGGGGUUCGGAACAUCAGUGCGUUAUGUCGGGGCAUGUAGGUUCGGCUGGGGUUAUCUUUCUUUCUUUCUUUUUUUUUUUUUUUCGAUCAGUACUCAUCAUAUUCUUACGAGGACUUGCUAGACAAAGCAUUAUUGCAUUAUGAUAUUACCCAAAUAGUGUCUCAAGUAAAAAACAUAACCGCAUACUGGAACAAAAGAUUUGCUGCUGUGACACAAAGGACAAAAAUCAUUAGUAUACUGGUCAUUCUGAGCAUUCAAUCAAAAUGCUUGUCAUUCAUAUAAUUAGUAGAACCAUCGAGGAGCUUUAUUUUUGUUAAUUCUUAUGUGAUAAAGCAAUAAUUACAGGAGACUUUUAAAAGAUUGGUAAUCAAAUUAGUGGACUGUCCUAUUGGAUGUGACCAUAUCUUCACUUUUUCCUUACACAGUUAAUUUUCUUUUGUUUAUUUGAUUUACUUAUUAUCAUAUUUAUUUAUAUAUUUAUUUAUUUGCACCAGAUGCUUGCUUAGUUAUAUUGGGGUUACUUCACCUGCUCGGAGAAAGGAAAGACUCCAUUUUUACUAAGGUACCAGAAGAAGAACUAAGAACAGGACAGUCUAGUGUGUAUUUGAUGGUGCACCUGUAGCUGAACCAACAUGUAUUUCUAAGGCUGUAGUCUCAUUGGUAGCAGGGCUUUGUGUUUAAUAUUGAACACCCAAAAAAUUGUGAACAUUUCCUCCGUUUCACAACAUCCCAUCUCUUAGGUAUCAAGUAUGACAAAGGUAACACUUCAAAAACAAGAUCUCUACUUGUAAAACUCAAUGAAGUAAAGACAGAAUUGAGCUACAAAAAUGCAUAAAUCUGCUUCCAAAUAUAUUCAACUCCACACAUAAUGCCUCUCUCUCUCUCUCUCUCUCUCUCUCUCUCUCUCUCUCUCUCUCUCUCUCUCUCUCUCUCUCUCUCUCUGUCACACACACAAA